UUUUUGGGUGGAGAAGAGGCAUGAUGGGAAGAAGCAGCCUGUCCUUUGUUGGGAGACGCCAUAUUUUAACAUGGAGGCUGCUACUCUAUGAGGCAGCCAUCUUAAGGACAAGAAAACUUUAGAAAGAAUUUUUAGAUAGAGUUCUCAACACCCAGGACCUGGUAACAACACGGCUAUAAAGCAAUUCAAUAGAUGACCACAGCCUGACUAAAUGUGCAGGCACAAGAUGACAACAAACCUUUUCUGAUGAGGUAACAAGCCCAUUUUCA
This 269-nucleotide long non-coding RNA is filed under the name Fukomys damarensis (Damara mole-rat). RNAcentral describes it as "lncRNA (ENSFDAG00000023285.1)". Lineage: Eukaryota; Metazoa; Chordata; Mammalia; Rodentia; Bathyergidae. The record is from RNAcentral.